This 1556-nucleotide small RNA is filed under the name Pan troglodytes (chimpanzee). RNAcentral's name for it is "transcribed unitary pseudogene". The record is from RNAcentral. Lineage: Eukaryota; Metazoa; Chordata; Mammalia; Primates; Hominidae.
AUGAGUCUCCCCGGCGCCCCGUGGCCGAAGAGCUAGGUGUACCAUGCAAUCCCCGCCCGGCUGGCCCCCGGCGACCGACGCCCCGCGGCCCUCGCCCUUCCCGCCCCCGGCGCUGCCCGCCCUCCACGGCUUGGCCCGCGCGCUGCUGUUCCCGGCCUACUGGGCCCUGGACCAGCUGCAGGGUGGCUGAGGAGGGCGGCGGGCGGCGGCGCGGCGCUGCUGCUGCUGCUGGUGGUCGGCCCGCCCCUGGCGCUGCCCGGCCUGCCGCUCUGGCUGGUGCCGCAGGUUUGGCGCCGCCCCUUCUGCUACCGCUCCCCUCCGCUGUGCUGGGCGCCGCCCGCGCUCUGGCGCCCGCCUGCCGAACCCAGGCGCUGCUUCGUCUUCCUCACCGCCAAUCUGUGCCUGCUCCCCGACGGGCAAGCGCGCUUCGGCAACCUACCGCACAGCCAGCGACCGGCCGAGGCCAUUGGCGCCGCGCUGCUGGGCGGCGCGCGGCCCGCGCUCUACAGGGCUACGGACUGCAGCCAGCCGUGGCCCAGGGCGCUGCGCGGGACGCUGGUGGCCUCGCUGCCCGUGGGUCUGGACUUUGUGUGCCUGCAGGAGGUAUUCGAUCUGCGCAGGGCUCGUCGCUUGGUGAAUCGCCUGGCGCCCAACCUGGGCCCGUUGCUGUACGACGUGGGCACGCUCGGCCUACAGCCCGGGCGGCACCUCAAGCUGCUGGACAGCGGGCUGCUGCUGGCCUCGCGCUACCCGCUGCUGCGCGCCACCUUCCGUUGCUUCCCCCACGCACGUGGCGAGGACGCGCUGGCCUCCAAGGGACUACCGUCCGCACAGGCGAGGCUGGGCAGCCUGGACGGGCGCCGCAUCGUGGGAUUCCUGCACUGCACGCAUUUGCAAGUACUGGCUGAUCAGGAACUGCGGAGACGGGAGCUGACUGUCCAGGAUGCGGUUCCGAAUCUGGAGCCAAGCCCACCCCACCCCCCCUCCCCCACGCAGAGGACGGGCCCUUGCGCAGCAAACAGCUGACGCCGCUGCUGGACUGGGCCGAGAAGUUUGGGGCCGAGAAGUUUGAGGCCGACAGAGAACAAAGUGGAGAGGUCGUGGCUUUCAGCGUGCUCCUGGGCGACCUAAACUUCGAUAACUGCUCGAAAGGUCCAGCAGGAGAGGAGGGCGAGGAGGGGCGGAGCCAGGAGGCCCGGCCCCGCCCACCGCGCGCCCGCCUCUCUCUGCAGACCACCGGCUGGAGCAGGAGCACGAGCUUUUCCGCUGUUUCCAGGAUCCCUGCCGGCUGGGCACGCGCCAAAAGCAGCCCUGGGCCCUGGGGACCGCGCUGAGCACCUCCGUGCUCCACCAGUCCGUGGCCUCCUCCCCCAAGAUGCCGAGGAGGACCCUGGAGCAGGAGAAAGGGCGCCACCUCUACCUGGCCGGCCUUCCCGGCAGAAGCCGCCGAGCUAAGCCCUGGAGAGGAGGUGGAGCAGGUGACGUUCAGUACCGCCCUGGAGGGGCUCACGGACCACCUGGCAGUGGGCCUGCAGCUCCGAGUUUCAGUGUCCUCC